This 254-nucleotide ribosomal RNA is filed under the name uncultured bacterium. RNAcentral describes it as "partial 16S ribosomal RNA". It matches the Rfam family "Bacterial small subunit ribosomal RNA", at positions 524 to 776 of the family's 1533-position model. The record is from RNAcentral.
UACGAGAGGCCCAAACGUUAUUCGGAAUUACUGGGCUUAAAGAGUUCGUAGGCGGCGCAGAAAGUAGGGUGUGAAAGCCCUCGGCUCAACCGAGGAAUUGCGCUCUAAACUACUGUGCUCGAGGAAUCUAGAGGUGAGCGGAACUGAUGGUGGAGCGGUGAAAUGCGUAGAUAUCUGGAGGAACACCGGUGGCGAAGGCGGCAUCCUGGACCAAUUCUGACGCUGAGUGAGCGAAAGCCAGGGGAGCAAACGGG